AUCCAGCUAACGAAACCCAAAUGGGACGAAACGCGUGUCCUGGAU
This 45-nucleotide non-coding RNA is filed under the name Schistosoma haematobium. The record is from RNAcentral. Lineage: Eukaryota; Metazoa; Platyhelminthes; Trematoda; Strigeidida; Schistosomatidae.